RNAcentral lists this long non-coding RNA (511 nucleotides) under Mytilus galloprovincialis (Mediterranean mussel). The record is from RNAcentral. Lineage: Eukaryota; Metazoa; Mollusca; Bivalvia; Mytilida; Mytilidae.
GGUUUUAUUGUAUGCUCAAAAACAUGAAGGCUGUUUUUUAAACUUGGAUUCAGUGACAGAAAGUCCUUGCGUAGUUUAUGGUAGGCUUUUAACGCCUGUUAUUAAAAUAAAAAUCAUGUUUGAUAUGUCUGCCUGUCUUGUUAAAUACUAUGGCUUGGUUUUAUUGGGAUUAAUUUUCAAACACCGAUCUUAAUCCAUCAAGUUUACUUUGAAGUCCUUUUGCUGAAGUUGAAAAAAUGGCAAGAUUAUCAGCAUAUGUAUAGUAAAGAAUAGACUGGUCGUGAAUAAACAACAGCUGGAUCAGGGGAACUUUUAACACAAUCAGGAAGUUCAUUUAUAAAAAUUUAAACAAAUUUGGACUCAAAUUGUCUCCCUGUUUUACUCCAACUUUAGUUCUAAAGAUAUCUCUUACCAUACUCUCUAACUAUAUUCAAUAGCUUAAGUUUUAUCCCUGGGAGAAUGACAGUACCAAAAGCCUUCUGGAAAUCAACAAAGCAGGCAAACGUUCUAC